Molecule: long non-coding RNA, 680 nt
Filed under: Amborella trichopoda
Lineage: Eukaryota; Viridiplantae; Streptophyta; Magnoliopsida; Amborellales; Amborellaceae
Description: long non-coding RNA (ATRI_LNC003517)
Source: RNAcentral
CGCAAAAUCUCGACCCUUAAUUCAAGGUCGAAAGGCCUAUUUAUAGACAACUCAAGUUCAAAACCACUAUUGGAUUGUUUUUUAGUGCAAUCAUGAUCAUUCAUUUCUUGUCGCCAUUUGGAUUUCUUCCGACGCCAUUGCUAAUGGCCCAGAGCUCACAGUUAAUUAGCACUAAGUGCAGUCCUUUGAAAUAAAUGUUGUAUUUAAUGCGGUCUAAUCAUGCAGUCUAGAUAGGGUACAGUUGUACGUGUGAGCGAGUGUCAGAGUCUUAGCGCCACUGGCAAUGGCAUCGAUGCCUUCCAAACUCCUCCACGAGAAAAUUCCCCAUGUGUCGUCUUCUGAGCUUCUUGCCAUAAAGGGUUGAGAUGCGUCAUGUUUUUUAAUCCCUCCAGCUACAUUUCGAUUGGCGACUGUGUUAGACUGUGGUUUUUGCUCGUCAUAAAGCAGGCGGUUGAGGUGACACUUCCUCGACCAAUCCUAGGUCGACAACCAACCUCUGUACUGACACAAUGGACACAUCAGUACAUUCUGACAUGUGUAAAUUCGUAUUGACACAUGUCAUUUCUCAGCAUUAGGUCACUUCUAUAGGCUGCCAUCAGUUUGGGUUGUCCAUGGCCUAGCAAAAGUCUGAAGUGCAUCGACGCCAUUGAGAAUGAUGUUGAGCUCCUCUCUCUCUCUCU